UACGUAGGGGGCAAGCGUUGUCCGGAAUUAUUGGGCGUAAAGAGCUCGUAGGCGGUCUGUUACGUCCGCUGUGAAAACCCAGGGCUUAACCCUGGGCUUGCAGUGGAUACGGGUAGACUAGAGGCAGGUAGGGGAGAAUGGAAUUCCCGGUGUAGCGGUGAAAUGCGCAGAUAUCGGGAGGAACACCUGUGGCGAAGGCGGCCCCCUGGUUGGAUACUGACGCUGAUACGCGAAAGCGUGGGGAGCAAACAGG
RNAcentral lists this ribosomal RNA (253 nucleotides) under uncultured bacterium. RNAcentral's name for it is "partial 16S ribosomal RNA". It matches the Rfam family "Bacterial small subunit ribosomal RNA", at positions 524 to 776 of the family's 1533-position model. The record is from RNAcentral.